GGGGGACGCGCCAAACCAUCCUGCAGGCUGCCAGCUUGCACUGCACACUCUCCUCACCCACCGGCCCCUGCAGCCAUUCCAUGUGAGUUGCGACAUGCAGGGGAAGGCAGGCCCACCCUGUCUGCCUUUAUGCCUACCUCGCCUCCUGUGUGUGUGUGUGUGUUCCCCAUGCUGCUCCAGGAUCUCUUUGGGGAAUCCAGCUCAGCAAGCAUGGAAGUCUGCAAGUUAACUGGACAAAUUGACAUAGCGUCCUGCUCACAUAGGG
Non-coding RNA from Pelobates cultripes (western spadefoot toad), 265 nucleotides. NCBI's taxonomy places the organism in Eukaryota, Metazoa, Chordata, Amphibia, Anura, Pelobatidae. The record is from the annotation of a GenBank genome assembly.